GUGGGGAAUAUUGGACAAUGGGCGCAAGCCUGAUCCAGCCAUGCCGCGUGAGUGAUGAAGGCCUUAGGGUUGUAAAGCUCUUUCAGUGGGGACGAUAAUGAAGGUACCCACAGAAGAAGCCCCGGCUAACUUCGUGCCAGCAGCCGCGGUAAUACGCAGGGGGCUAGCGUUGUUCGGAUUUACUGGGCGUAAAGCGCACGUAGGCGGAUCGUUAAGUCGGGGGUGAAAUCCUGGAGCUCAACUCCAGAACUGCCUUCGAUACUGGCGAUCUUGAGUCCGGAAGAGGUGAGAGGAACUCCUAGUGUAGAGGUGGAAUUCGUACAUAUUAGGAAGAACACCAGUGGCGAAGGCGGCUCACUGGUCCGGUAAUGACGCUGAGGUGCGAAAGCGUGGGGAGCAAACAGGAUUAGAAACCCUUGUAGUCC
RNAcentral lists this ribosomal RNA (425 nucleotides) under uncultured bacterium. Its description in RNAcentral is "partial 16S ribosomal RNA". It matches the Rfam family "Bacterial small subunit ribosomal RNA", at positions 354 to 796 of the family's 1533-position model. The record is from RNAcentral.